Long non-coding RNA from Polistes dominula (European paper wasp), 1318 nucleotides. Lineage: Eukaryota; Metazoa; Arthropoda; Insecta; Hymenoptera; Vespidae. The record is from RefSeq and is a predicted model, not a curated record.
CAGUGUGUGCAUAGCGGCCGGCUGGCCGACGUGCACUGCGUUGACGGAGGGUAGCGUUUCGCUACCAAACCGAUCUUUUUUUUCAUUCUCUCUUUCUCACUUUGACAUACGAGUAGAAAGAGAGAACAGUAUAUACAUAUUAUAUAUACUGUUAUACAUAUAUACAGAGAGCAUACACAACACUUUAUCCACUUUUGUUUCCUUCCUUUAAACCAGCCAUAGACAGAGACGUUCGUUGCACACACGUUUGGUUUUCGUCCCUCGUUAAAACACUGGUGCGUUCGUUCCAGCAAAGGGACGCGCGCGCUGUCAUAUUUCUUCCUUUGUUAUUUUCUCUGUCACAACCACAUAAUCGUCGUCGCCGUCGUCGCCGUCGUCGUCACGUCGGGACGAGAAGAAGCGUGUGCGCGAUCGGGGCCAACGCAAGAAGGCGUCGUCGUGGCAGCGUUCCUGUCGUUUCUAACGUCCCCGGCGUCGUCCCUGGCGACGGCGACGGCGACGGUGGCGUCGAGGGGGCCCACAGGCCCCUCGUCGAUAUCGUCGAGGAAGAAGAAGGCACGGAGCCAAGGAUGGAACUCGAUGAGUUUCUAUUAGGCUUUGGAAACGAUAAGAAUUUGUAUUACUGUGCGCCGUAUUCUGCGCGGGCGUUACCCUGUUGUCAUCGUCGUCGUCGUCGUCCUCGUCCUCGUCCUCGUCCUCGUCCUCGUCCUUCUUCUUCUUCUUCUCUACCUCGCGUCGAGGAUGUUACUCGUCUCAGCGCCACGAGUGGCAGACUAUCCUCCAAACGGAGAAGGUACCCGGAAGCAGUAUGCCUUCUUUAGCUGUGAAGAAUAAACCGCGCGUGUGAGUGCAAGAAUAAGAAUACUAUAUUCUAUAUUCACUCGGUCGUGAAUCGAUCGAUUCGCGUAUAGAAACACAUACCUAUAUAUACAAUAUAUAUAUCCAACCAUAUAUAUAUAUAACACGGUAGAUACAUUAACAUUCGAUAAAGAGAUAAGACUAGCCGAGAGAGUUUAAAUCACGGAUGUAUGGAUGAUGAUGAUGAUGGUGCAGGAAUUUUGAUUAUUGAGAUUGGUGUCGUGCGAUAUGAAACAACGUUUAAAAAGAAUGCAUGUAUUUAUGCGGUAAAUACAUAAAAAAAUAAGGGAAAGGUAGAAGAAGGGAUUGUUGUUUCGUGUUGGAAAUAUUUCAUCCUCGGUUGUUACCGAAAUGGUCAUAGAUACGAGAAGAAGGAUGCUUGGAUUUGACGUGUUUAUUCUAAUCAAAGAAUUCAAUUCACAAAUCUGAAAGAAAAAGAAAAGAAAUAAGAAACCAAUUA